Molecule: long non-coding RNA, 480 nt
Filed under: Linum usitatissimum (flax)
Lineage: Eukaryota; Viridiplantae; Streptophyta; Magnoliopsida; Malpighiales; Linaceae
Description: long non-coding RNA (LUSI_LNC007958)
Source: RNAcentral
GCGUGACGAAAAUAAUUAUCUGGAAAUCCAUAACAUAAUAAAAUAAUAAAUAAAUAAAAAGUCAAACAAAACGAAAAGCAGGGGUGACUUGGUCGGUGCGGCGUGGAACGGUGGAACUGUGGAAGGAACUGCGGAAGGAACUGUACACCAACGUUAAUAAAACAGUGUCUAAAAAGUUGGGAUUCUACAGCUAAUUAACAAACCUUAAACCCAUACUAAUCCGCGUCGCCUACUUUCCCACCUCCCCCUUCAAAUAAAUUAAAUCAAACAUGAACACCUACGACUAAAUAAUAAUAAUAAUAAUAAUAAUAAAAUAAUGAUGAGACCAUUAUUCAGUUUGAACGCAUCCUAAUCUUUACUGCCUCGUCUUGAAUGUUGAAUCUUUCUCACCUUUCUCCAUUUCCAUGGUCUUCCUUCUUCCUUCUUCUUCUUCACCUUUGAACGCCGUGAAUUUUCCACCAUCCCGCGUCCGCUAAUUUC